RNAcentral lists this ribosomal RNA (425 nucleotides) under uncultured bacterium. RNAcentral describes it as "bacterial SSU rRNA". It matches the Rfam family "Bacterial small subunit ribosomal RNA", at positions 356 to 773 of the family's 1533-position model. The record is from RNAcentral.
GGGGAAUAUUGCACAAUGGGCGCAAGCCUGAUGCAGCCAUGCCGCGUGUAUGAAGAAGGCCUUAGGGUUGUAAAGUACUUUCAGUUGGGAGGAAGGCGUUGAUGCUAAUAUCAUCAACGAUUGACGUUACCAACAGAAGAAGCACCGGCUAACUCCGUGCCAGCAGCCGCGGUAAUACGGAGGGUGCAAGCGUUAAUCGGAAUUACUGGGCGUAAAGCGCACGCAGGCGGUUGAUUAAGUUAGAUGUGAAAUCCCCGGGCUUAACCUGGGAAUGGCAUCUAAGACUGGUCAGCUAGAGUCUUGUAGAGGGGGGUAGAAUUCCAUGUGUAGCGGUGAAAUGCGUAGAGAUGUGGAGGAAUACCGGUGGCGAAGGCGGCCCCCUGGACAAAGACUGACGCUCAGGUGCGAAAGCGUGGGGAGCAAAC